CAAUGUGGUCAAAUAUACAUCUCAAAAGCUAAACAAGGUUAGGCCUGGUUAGUACUUGGAUGGGAGACCUCUGGGAAUUCCAGGUGCCACAGUAG
This 95-nucleotide ribosomal RNA is filed under the name Periophthalmus magnuspinnatus. The record is from RNAcentral. Lineage: Eukaryota; Metazoa; Chordata; Actinopteri; Gobiiformes; Gobiidae.